CAAUAGCGUAUACUAAAGUUGUUGCGAUUAAAAAGCUCGUAGUUGGAUCUCAGGCAUGGGCGCACGGUCCGCCUCGCGGCGGUCACUGUGUGUUUUGUUUCCCAUCCUACGCUUCCCGGUUAUCAGCCCCUGGUGCUCUUCACUGAGCGUUUUGGGUGGCCGGAACGUUUACUUUGAAGAAAUUAGAGUGUUCAAAGCAGGCACGUCGCCUGAAUAAUGGUGCAUGGAAUAAUGGAAUAGGACCUCGGUUCUAUUUUGCUGGUUUUCGGAACACGAGGUAAUGAUUAAGAGGGACAGACGGGGGCAUCCGUAUUGCGGUGUUAGAGGUGAAAUUCUUGGAUCAUCGCAAGACGAACAACUGCGAAAGCAUUUGCCAAGCAUGUUUUCAUUAG
This 392-nucleotide ribosomal RNA is filed under the name uncultured eukaryote. RNAcentral's name for it is "partial 18S ribosomal RNA". It matches the Rfam family "Eukaryotic small subunit ribosomal RNA", at positions 592 to 976 of the family's 1831-position model. The record is from RNAcentral.